CAAAUCUGACUGUCUGUGUGGUGAAAUACCCAUGCAGACACAUAAGCACAAGGCCGCAAGGCCUUGAUGUUCACGCUUGUAUGUUUGACAGAGUUAUAUUGUGACUAAAAAAGA
This 114-nucleotide unclassified non-coding RNA is filed under the name uncultured Rozellomycota. Its description in RNAcentral is "uncultured Cryptomycota sequence contains ITS1". Lineage: Eukaryota; Fungi; Rozellomycota. The record is from RNAcentral.